Long non-coding RNA from Ipomoea nil (Japanese morning glory), 205 nucleotides. RefSeq lists it as uncharacterized. The record is from RefSeq and is a predicted model, not a curated record. The transcript is spliced from 3 exons. NCBI's taxonomy places the organism in Eukaryota, Viridiplantae, Streptophyta, Magnoliopsida, Solanales, Convolvulaceae.
CUCGCCGCUCGCUUCUGCCAUUCCAGCUUGCCGUCGCCAUUCCACUACUCGCCCAACUCCGCAGUAACAUUAGGGUACCAUAUUGCCGGAAGUAUGGGUGUAUUCUAUGAUCGUGAACCAUAUGUCAAUGCUGAUGCUGCACAUGUAACUCGAUUUCUAGGCUUAGCAUCUGUUGGAAAUAAAGAAAAACAGAAAUUCCAUUCAU